Non-coding RNA from Physcomitrium patens, 487 nucleotides. The record is from RefSeq and is a predicted model, not a curated record. Lineage: Eukaryota; Viridiplantae; Streptophyta; Bryopsida; Funariales; Funariaceae.
GAGCGACGCGGUGGUACAAGCUCCAGCAUGUCACACUGCGGCGCCAAUCUAUGUACCCUCCUCAUCUUGGAGUUGUCGAUGUAGGACUCUCAAUCGUACAACAAUUGCGUAUGCAAUCAAAGUCACCUCGUCAAUACUAAAGCCGCCGUGUCCUGCUGACAGCCAUACCUGAGCACCUGGUUGGACAAGUGCAGCUGGUAUCAGGAUCAUGCGAGUUACUGGCUCCGCCAAAGGAAAUAGUCCUAGACCUGCCAAUCGCUCACUUUCCGAGGCAACGCCAAGAAAUUGAUAGAAAUUGUUCAGGGAGGGAGAUACAGAAGCACCUACAGGUUUUCGUAAGCGUAGGAUAACGUGGGUUAGGUGUGGUGCAACAAGGCGAAAAUAUGCUAUAUGAUGUUAAGUGAGUAAGACAAGGCUGAAACUUUGUUGAGAUUUCCUUGCGACGACGUUGAAUGCAACGAAAACAAUGCAAAGGAACAGGGGUGAU